GAGAGUAAUGAUAUAAGUGGAUUAACACAUCAUAAAUUCAAAAACCCAUAGCAAUAGAGAGUAUACUACAAGGUUUCCAUAACCCUAACAAAUAAACUUAGCUACUCAUGAAUAAAACGGAAAUCACAAUAGAAAUAUUCAUCAUACCAAAACUUAGAACGAUCUUGGUGGAGAAGAUGAAUAGCGAAAAUAAGAGAGAAAAACGUUUCUCUCUCUCUCUCCUCAAGCUAAGCCGCUUUCUCUUGUUUUCAAAAUAAUA
Molecule: long non-coding RNA, 259 nt
Filed under: Capsicum annuum
Lineage: Eukaryota; Viridiplantae; Streptophyta; Magnoliopsida; Solanales; Solanaceae
Description: long non-coding RNA (CANN_LNC006768)
Source: RNAcentral